This 253-nucleotide ribosomal RNA is filed under the name uncultured bacterium. RNAcentral describes it as "partial 16S ribosomal RNA". It matches the Rfam family "Bacterial small subunit ribosomal RNA", at positions 524 to 776 of the family's 1533-position model. The record is from RNAcentral.
UACGGAGGGGGCUAGCGUUGUUCGGAAUUACUGGGCGUAAAGCGCACGUAGGCGGCUUUGUAAGUUAGAGGUGAAAGCCCGGGGCUCAACUCCGGAAUUGCCUUUAAGACUGCAUCGCUCGAAUCAUGGAGAGGUGAGUGGAAUUACGAGUGUAGAGGUGAAAUUCGUAGAUAUUCGGAAGAACACCAGUGGCGAAGGCGACUCACUGGACAUGUAUUGACGCUGAGGUGCGAAAGCGUGGGGAGCAAACAGG